GAUGAACGCUGGCGGCGUGCCUAAUACAUGCAAGUCGAGCGAACAGACGAGGAGCUUGCUCCUUUGACGUUAGCGGCGGACGGGUGAGUAACACGUGGGUAACCUACCUAUAAGACUGGGAUAACUUCGGGAAACCGGAGCUAAUACCGGAUAAUAUUUCGAACCGCAUGGUUCGAUAAUGAAAGAUGGCUUUGCUAUCACUUAUAGAUGGACCUGCGCCGUAUUAGCUAGUUGGUAAGGUAACGGCUUACCAAGGCAACGAUACGUAGCCGACCUGAGAGGGUGAUCGGCCACACUGGAACUGAGACACGGUCCAGACUCCUACGGGAGGCAGCAGUAGGGAAUCUUCCGCAAUGGGCGAAAGCCUGACGGAGCAACGCCGCGUGAGUGAUGAAGGUCUUCGGAUCGUAAAACUCUGUUAUUAGGGAAGAACAAACGUGUAAGUAACUGUGCACGUCUUGACGGUACCUAAUCAGAAAGCCACGGCUAACUACGUG
RNAcentral lists this ribosomal RNA (497 nucleotides) under uncultured bacterium. RNAcentral's name for it is "partial 16S ribosomal RNA". It matches the Rfam family "Bacterial small subunit ribosomal RNA", at positions 28 to 507 of the family's 1533-position model. The record is from RNAcentral.